UAGGGAAUCUUCCGCAAUGGACGCAAGUCUGACGGAGCAACGCCGCGUGAGUGAAGAAGGAUUUCGGUUCGUAAAACUCUGUUGUUAGAGAAGAACAGCGCAUAGAGUAACUGUUAUGCGUGUGACGGUAUCUAACCAGAAAGCCACGGCUAACUACGUGCCAGCAGCCGCGGUAAUACGUAAGGUCCGAGCGUUGUCCGGAAUCAUUGGGCGUAAAGGGUACGUAGGCGGGUAAGCAAGUUAGAAGUGAAAUCCUGUAGCUCAACUACAGUAAGCUUUUAAAACUGCUCAUCUUGAGAUAUGGAAGGGAAAGUGGAAUUCCUAGUGUAGCGGUGAAAUGCGCAGAUAUUAGGAGGAAUACCGGUGGCGAAGGCGACUUUCUGGCCAUAAUCUGACGCGGAGGUACGAAAGCGUGGGUAGCAAACAGG
This 428-nucleotide ribosomal RNA is filed under the name Bacteroidota bacterium. RNAcentral's name for it is "Bacteroidetes bacterium partial 16S ribosomal RNA". It matches the Rfam family "Bacterial small subunit ribosomal RNA", at positions 355 to 776 of the family's 1533-position model. Lineage: Bacteria; Pseudomonadati; Bacteroidota. The record is from RNAcentral.